AUGAGCUAUGAAAACAUCUCUCGAGGAAGGAAAAGAAAACCCCUAUUUGCUCACAACAGAACUUGGGGUUUCCGAGGCUUCCCAUUUGUGGAAAAAGUGUACUCUGUUGGUUCCCACCAAAACUCGCGGAAGCGUUCCUUGCAUCGCUCACAAUCCUCUUCUUGUGCAUCUGGGUUGAUCUCGACACGCCCUGAAAACUGGAAGCGGAUCAUGGAGUGGACGAAGGAGAUGCUAUAUAUUUGUAGUCCGACCCUAGCCUAUGUGUUUCCACUGUAUGCAAUUAAUAUCCCAUCACAUGGAAAAUGA
RNAcentral lists this ribosomal RNA (306 nucleotides) under Triticum aestivum (bread wheat). Its description in RNAcentral is "partial small subunit ribosomal RNA". Lineage: Eukaryota; Viridiplantae; Streptophyta; Magnoliopsida; Poales; Poaceae. The record is from RNAcentral.